RNA transcript from Hordeum vulgare subsp. vulgare (domesticated barley), 2926 nucleotides. RefSeq lists it as uncharacterized. The record is from RefSeq and is a predicted model, not a curated record. NCBI's taxonomy places the organism in Eukaryota, Viridiplantae, Streptophyta, Magnoliopsida, Poales, Poaceae. The transcript has 19 exons.
AGCCCCGCUGCUUCCCUCGCUUUGUGAGUUCCCUCUUCUCUUCUCCCGGUUUCGAAUUUUGAAUUCCGUCGAAUUUCUCCGAUCCCCCCACACUCCGCCGCGGCUGCGUCCUCAGGCGAUCUCCCGUCUCCCCCGCCCCACCAUGGAUCCGGAGCCGCGGCAGUGGGCGGCGACGUACACCACGCAGCUGAGGCAGAAGCGCAAGGCCUACCACGACGGGGUCCUCCUCCUCCACCCCGACUCCCGCCGCCUCGUCCUCCUCGACGACGCUGGCGUCACCAUCGACGCCAGGUCCCUCCGAGAGGCCGAGUACGUGUCCGAGGGCGCCUCCCUCGAGUUCCCCUGCCACCUCGUCGACGUCGGCGAGGCCCAGCGCGUCCCCACCACCGCCCGCCCCGGAAGGCCCUCCUCCGAGUCCGCCGCUCCCAGGACCGCCUACCGCGGCGGCGCCAGGGCGCGUCACGGCGCGGCCAACACCUGCGCUCCCCGCGCGUUCGUCAAUCCACCCAAGAGAGGAGCCGGCAAGACCGAAGCCGCGGGCUCUGGCUGCGCCAGGUCCGCCGGUUCGACGUUCCAAGAGUGGAGCGCGCUGUACACCACCCAGGUUUCGCAGAAGGCUAAGAAGUAUCACGACGGCUUCGUGAAGCUCGUUCAAUCUGGGUUGUAUUCGAAGCAGAUCGUUUUGCUGGAUGAAGACGGCCAAACACUGGGGACCAGGCACCUCAAGUCAGGGGAGUGUGUGGAAAGCGGGAAGAAAUGCAGUUUUCCUGGCUAUCUGAUUGAGAUCGGCGAGGCCACAAAUCUAAACAAAGGUGGAGAACCUAAAUCUUCAGAAGAACCUAUGGUGCAGACAAGACCAAAGAGAGUGGAGAAUGCGAAUAGCAAAAUGGGAAUUGGUACAACAAGUUCCCUGAAAUUCAUCAGUCCACAGAAGUCCAUUCAAUUUGUAGGUUUUGACGAGAGUAAAUCAGAAGCCACUUCUAGUUCUAACAAGCCAGAGCUUGGAAAGAGUGAAGUUGCAGCUGCUGGCAGCACAGGGAGCCUUAUGGGUUCAGCAGACUCAAGUUCCAAAGAAAUAGAAUGGAGUGUAUUAUACACCGCCCAACUAAAUCAAAAGGCAAAGAAGUUUCAUGAUGGUGUUAUAAGGCUUGUGCAAGCUGGUCCAAAUGCAAAGCAGAUUGUUUUACUGGAUGAAGAAGGUGGAGUGCUUGGCACCAGAUACUUCAAUUCAGGUGAAUCUAUUGAAUGUGGAAAGAGAUGCCAGUUUCCUAAUUAUAUCAUCGAAGUCGCCGAGCUCAGAAAUAAAAUGAAAGAUGUAGAACAUAAACAUGCUACUGGGGAGGCUUCAAGUCACACAGAAAAGAAGGAUGACAAAAGUAAAUCUCCAAAGUUUGUUAGUCCACUUAAAUUCCAUGCAGAUCAUCGGAAGAAUAAAACAAGAAGCACUACUGACUCUAACAAGCCACAGGCCGGAAAAUCAACAUGUAGUAACAUGGGCGAUCCACUUAACUUUCAUGUAUUUACAGAUCUUCAGAGGGGUAAACCAGAUUGCACUGUUGGUUACGGAAGAGCGUACCCAGGAUCAACAUCUAGCGAUGUCGAUAAUCAACAUAAAUUUAAUGAUUUUGCAGAUAACCAGAGGGGUACAUCAGAAUUUUCUACCAGCUAUAGCCGGCUAGAAGUUGAGAAAUCAACAUUUAAUGGCCCGGGAAAAUCAACACUUGGUGGCAUGGAUGAUCCACAUAUAUUUGAUGAUAUCCAGAGGUGUAAAUCAGGAUUUUCUACCAGCUAUAACCGGCCAGAAGUUGACAAAUCAAUUCUUAAUAGAAUGGAUGAUCCACUAAAAUUUUGUGGUCUUCAGGAUGGCAAAUCAGUGUGUCCCACUAGUUUUGUCGGGAGAGAGGUUGGAAAAUCAACAAUUGGCAAUGCUGAUGAUUCUUUGCGGACUGCAUCCCAAAUACUAUCUAUCAUGAAGCCCCCAGCUGGAUUGUCUCACUUUGCUACCCAGCUCCGUACAUCUGUGCAAUCUUGCUUGAAGUUGGAUACUGCACAUGCAAAGAACUCGGUAAUCGCUCAUAAUAGGAAUGGAUUACCAGGGAAUGCUCCAACUUACAAUCAUCAGGCCAUCAUGAAACCACCAGCCUUUGAUGCUUCGGACUUGGAAUUGAUAGAUCUCCCAGAAUCUGAGAUGUGCAAUGCAAACGAGCAGAAACUAGAAUCAUCAGGCAAUCAUAACACUGGAAACUGUAAUCGUACAGCUUCUGCGCCAAUUUUGAAUGUUACUAGCAUCCCAGACUUGCGAGAAGACAAAAGUGGAACUGCAGAUCAGCUCGGUGGGAAUAACACAGCAGAGGACCCCAAAUAUGACAGUGGUGCAUGUAGAGAUUCCACGAUCCAGGAUUUGAUAGAUGACUGCCCUUCCUUUGAUCUUGGCUUCUGAUGGAAGUGGAAGAUGGGAAGAUGUGCGAAGCUUUUGCACGUUCUCUAAAGGGUAAGACCUGCACAUGAAAGGAAGGCUCACAGCCUGUGGCGAGCCAAAGAUUGCUCUGGUGCCGUGCAUGGCUUGGGCGGACUGUGUCACGAAACAAUCAAAUCUCUUGUUUGUUGGCGAGAGAUCGGGCAAAAGCGGCAGUUCUCUCAAGAAAUUAAGCGCGUUGAGCGGGGAGAAGAAUGACCUUACGUGUGGGUGUGGGUUGUCAUGAUUGUACACUGUCAGUUUUACUCUCGUCUUGCGUCCUUCUUUAUAUUAGCGAGUGAUUGCUUUACCUUUUGUUUUAUACUGUAGUAUAUAGCAUGGCGUGAUAUGUUUUGUUUUUCUAUAGCAGCUUACCACAUAUAACAUGGCCUUUUGUUUAUGAUAAAAUCGUAGAGACUAGAACAUGUUUUCUCCAGUGAAAAUCCAUGGAUGUUGUUUAUAGAAUGGAAA